Molecule: microRNA precursor, 142 nt
Filed under: Amborella trichopoda
Lineage: Eukaryota; Viridiplantae; Streptophyta; Magnoliopsida; Amborellales; Amborellaceae
Description: pre miRNA mir-598
Source: RNAcentral
UUAUGAUGAUGAUGACAGUGAUGAGGACGGGGAGGGAUGUCAAGAGGUAGAACAACAACAACCCCUUUCCCUUCCCCCUAAUCAUGGAUUGUUGUUGUUCUCCUCUUGACAUCCCUCCCCGUCGUCAUAACUGUCAUCAUCA